GAGCUUGCUCCCUGAUGUUAGCGGCGGACGGGUGAGUAACACGUGGGUAACCUGCCUGUAAGACUGGGAUAACUCCGGGAAACCGGGGCUAAUACCGGAUGGUUGUUUGAACCGCAUGGUUCAAACAUAAAAGGUGGCUUCGGCUACCACUUACAGAUGGACCCGCGGCGCAUUAGCUAGUUGGUGAGGUAACGGCUCACCAAGGCAACGAUGCGUAGCCGACCUGAGAGGGUGAUCGGCCACACUGGGACUGAGACACGGCCCAGACUCCUACGGGAGGCAGCAGUAGGGAAUCUUCCGCAAUGGACGAAAGUCUGACGGAGCAACGCCGCGUGAGUGAUGAAGGUUUUCGGAUCGUAAAGCUCUGUUGUUAGGGAAGAACAAGUACCGUUCGAAUAGGGGGGUACCUUGACGGUACCUAACCAGAAAGCCACGGCUAACUACGUGCCAUCAGCCGCGGUAAUACGUAGGUGG
This 474-nucleotide ribosomal RNA is filed under the name Bacillus stercoris. RNAcentral's name for it is "bacterial SSU rRNA". It matches the Rfam family "Bacterial small subunit ribosomal RNA", at positions 76 to 534 of the family's 1533-position model. The record is from RNAcentral. Lineage: Bacteria; Bacillati; Bacillota; Bacilli; Caryophanales; Bacillaceae.